Molecule: ribosomal RNA, 119 nt
Filed under: Helianthus annuus (common sunflower)
Lineage: Eukaryota; Viridiplantae; Streptophyta; Magnoliopsida; Asterales; Asteraceae
Source: RNAcentral
GGCUGCGAUCAUACCAGCACUAAUGCACCGGAUCCCAUCAGAACUCCGCAGUUAAGCGUGCUUGGGCGAGAGUAGUACUAGGAUGGGUGACCCCUUGGGAAGUCCUCGUGUUGCAACCC